This is a long non-coding RNA of Gadus morhua (Atlantic cod), 680 nucleotides long. RefSeq lists it as uncharacterized. The transcript is spliced from 2 exons. Lineage: Eukaryota; Metazoa; Chordata; Actinopteri; Gadiformes; Gadidae. The record is from RefSeq and is a predicted model, not a curated record.
UAAACAUUGCUUUGUUUCCAAGGCAACUCUGAGCUGUGUGAAAACACGCCAUCAUGUGACCACCAGCCACUCCAGAGUGUUUACAAAUGAACCAGGAACCAAAAUGUUCUUGUGUGUCCUCUCUCCUGCACAGACACGUCCUGUUCCUCUAUAUCAAAGCAUCUCAGCCCUGACCAAUCGUGGCACACAGAGGCACAGAGGAAACCAACAGAGCCGGAAAUGUGUCGAGAAGAACAGACGGAUCCGGUUCAGCACACCGAGUCCUGUCUAUUCCAGGUGGAGAAAGGUACCAGUUGGAGCCCACCUGGCUCUUGUUCCAACAUCGCCUCCAAGCAGCUCCUGAUCCCUAGUUUGAAUGUUUCAUUACUCAUCUAACGUUCUGGCCUAUACUUAUUUCACAGGUGUGUGAUCAACACUGGUGACUGACUCUCUGUCAGUCAGUCAGUCAGUCAGUCAGUCAGUCAGACAGACAGACAGACAGACAGACAGACACUCUAUUAUUGUUAGUAUUAUAGCCCUGUUUUUGGUGUGUGCAUAUUUUACUGGCAUUUGCAAUGCCGCUAAAAAAAAGAAGUAAGAAGUAAAAGUAACUCAGUUCAAUAAACCUACAGGAAAAUACCUGAUUGUAAUAUUUCAGAAAUUGUUGUAAAUAAAGAAAAGGAGACCAUCUUCAAGAGUAA